CCUGCGGAUGGAUCAUUACCGAGUGCGGGCCCCUCGGGGCCCAACCUCCCACCCGUGUUGCCCGAACCUAUGUUGCCUCGGCGGGCCCCGCGCCCGCCGACGGCCCCCCUGAACGCUGUCUGAAGUUGCAGUCUGAGACCUAUAACGAAAUUAGUUAAAACUUUCAACAACGGAUCUCUUGGUUCCGGCAUCGAUGAAGAACGCAGCGAAAUGCGAUAACUAAUGUGAAUUGCAGAAUUCAGUGAAUCAUCGAGUCUUUGAACGCACAUUGCGCCCUCUGGUAUUCCGGAGGGCAUGCCUGUCCGAGCGUCAUUGCUGCCCUCAAGCCCGGCUUGUGUGUUGGGCCCCGUCCCCCCCGCCGGGGGGACGGGCCCGAAAGGCAGCGGCGGCACCGCGUCCGGUCCUCGAGCGUAUGGGGCUUCGUCACCCGCUCUAGUAGGCCCGGCCGGCGCCAGCCGACCCCCAACCUUUAAUUAUCUCAGGUUGACCUCGGAUCAGGUAGGGAUACCCGCUGAACUUAACGGUAUCAAUAAGCGGAGGAAAAGAAACCAACCGGGAUUGCCCUAGUAACGGCGAGUGAAGCGGCAAGAGCUCAAGUUUGAAAGCUGGCCCCCUCUGGGUCCGCGUUGUAAUUUGCAGAGGAUGCUUCGGGAACGGCCGUCAUCUAGUGCCCUGGAAGGGUCGUCAUAGACGGUGAGAAUCCCAUCUGGGAUGGGGUGAGCGCAGCUGUGGAAGCUCCUUCGAGAGUCUAGUUGUUAUAAUGCAAUCUAAUGGUGGUAAUUUAGCUCAGCUAAUAUGCCGGAGACCGAUCGCGCACUUUAGAUGAUCGAAAAUGAAAGCACUUGAAAGAGGUAACAUACGUAAUUCUUAAGAGAACGCUGCGACAGACCGCCGCGGGUUACCGCACUCGUGCGUGUCUCCCGCGGCGGCACGUCGGUUGGCGCCGUCAAGCUCGGAAGGACCCUUCGGGCUCUAACCAGGUGCAGGGCUGCCGACAAGAACCCUCGCCGACCUGAUAUGUCUAGCACCUCUGAACCGACAGGUCACUCACCAGGUCGUGAACCGGCCAUGAACACGAUGGACCCCGUCCACACGACUAUCUCGUGUUAUAACGACUUGGCCAAAGGAUUCGGAUGGACCGGACUGGAGCCCGUCAUGAAAUGCAUGUAGGAAAAACUAUGUCCC
RNAcentral lists this small RNA (1185 nucleotides) under Penicillium citrinum. RNAcentral's name for it is "eukaryotic LSU rRNA". The stretch from base 159 to 312 matches the Rfam family "5.8S ribosomal RNA". The record is from RNAcentral. Lineage: Eukaryota; Fungi; Ascomycota; Eurotiomycetes; Eurotiales; Aspergillaceae.